GAAUUGAGGGAAGCUGCUCCUAGUACGAGAGGACCGGAGUGGACGAACCUCUGGUGUUCCGGUUGUGACGCCAGUCGCAUUGCCGGGUAGCUACGUUCGGAAAGGAUAACCGCUGAAAGCAUCUAAGCGGGAAGCCCCUCCCAAGACUAGUUCUCCCCGACCCCUUGAGGGUCCUGAAGAGCCGUCCAAGACUAGGACGUUGAUAGGCUGGGUGUGGAAGCGCUGUGAGGCGUUGAGCUAACCAGUACUAAUUGCUCGUGCGGCUUGACCAU
Molecule: ribosomal RNA, 272 nt
Filed under: Luminiphilus sp.
Lineage: Bacteria; Pseudomonadati; Pseudomonadota; Gammaproteobacteria; Cellvibrionales; Halieaceae
Description: partial 23S ribosomal RNA
Rfam family: Bacterial large subunit ribosomal RNA
Source: RNAcentral